Molecule: transfer RNA, 74 nt
Filed under: archaeon AH-315-M20
Lineage: Archaea
Description: tRNA-Arg
Rfam family: tRNA
About the family: Transfer RNA (tRNA) molecules are approximately 80 nucleotides in length. Their secondary structure includes four short double-helical elements and three loops (D, anti-codon, and T loops). Further hydrogen bonds mediate the characteristic L-shaped molecular structure. tRNAs have two regions of fundamental functional importance: the anti-codon, which is responsible for specific mRNA codon recognition, and the 3' end, to which the tRNAs corresponding amino acid is attached (by aminoacyl-tRNA synthetases). tRNAs cope with the degeneracy of the genetic code in two manners: having more than one tRNA (with a specific anti-codon) for a particular amino acid; and 'wobble' base-pairing, i.e. permitting non-standard base-pairing at the 3rd anti-codon position.
Source: RNAcentral
GGGCCUGUGGUGUAAUCUGGAUAGCACACUUGGCUUCGGACCAGGUAAUCGGGGUUCAAAUCCUCGCAGGCUCG